GCUCCUGCUCAGUCAGUCCACCUUUGGGAGAGUGCGGAGUCCUGCCACAGGAAGGCAGGAAGGAGACAGCCUGGGCAGACCCCAAGGAAACAUCCACCAGGCAGAUAAGGCACGUCCCACGCUCGCACUCACACCCACUCCAAAAUCCCAGCCGCUCACAAGCCCAGUAUUUACAGUGUUCUUCGUCAAGGGGGCAAGUAACGCCUCCUUCGAAAGGUCUGGGGCCCCCAAAGCCAGAGUGUAUCGGCCUGUCCUGGGCCCCUGGGAGGGCCGGGCCCUCCUCAUCCAUCCCAGGGUCCCCCAGAGAGCAAACGCUUCAGUCUCGCCCAGGCUGGGAAGGCAGGCCUCUGCAUCCCACCCAGAUGCUCUGGGUCCCAGUUUUACCAGAAUACCUCCCAGAGGCCAGGGAGUCAAAGGGGACCCUGCUGGCAGAGGGGAAGCGAGCUCUUUGGGGGACUGGCCACAAAGCUCUAGUGCCCCUAAAGCCCCCAUGUCUUCUUUUCCUAGGGUGGCUCCUUGGCAGCCCCUAGUCUGAGGCCUAAUGCCAGGCAGAGAAGCAGGCCCGGGGCUCCUGCCCCCGCUCCACCAAGGCCGCCCUGCUAACGGACUGCGAGAAUGCCCAGCCUGGCCCAGGUGAUGGUGGCUGCCAGAGGUCCAGAGCUUAGGAACAGACAAGGCAGAGAAUGGGGAGGGGAGGGAAGCUCAGUAACCCCAGGCUUUGCAGAGCUGGAGGUAGCGCCCCUGGGGCAGGCUUGGGGCUUUUCGGAACCAAUGGGACGUUCACUCACCGCCUGAAUGGCUUCUGAGGAUGGACACACACCUCCACUGCUCCACGUUGGCGAGCUUACUACUGGAACCGAAGACCGUGCUGGGGCCGAUGUACCUGGGGGAGAGAGAAUCCCAGAGGUCACCCCCUGUUCUCAGCGAACA
Molecule: long non-coding RNA, 930 nt
Organism: Sarcophilus harrisii (Tasmanian devil)
Lineage: Eukaryota; Metazoa; Chordata; Mammalia; Dasyuromorphia; Dasyuridae
Exons: 2
Source: RefSeq, a predicted model, not a curated record